AGAUUGAACGCUAGCGGGAUACUUUACACAUGCAAGUCGAACGGCAGCGCGGACUUCGGUCUGGCGGCGAGUGGCGAACGGGUGAGUAAUAUAUCGGAACGUGCCCAGUAGCGGGGGAUAACUACGCGAAAGCGUGGCUAAUACCGCAUACGCCCUACGGGGGAAAGGGGGGGAUCGCAAGACCUCUCACUAUUGGAGCGGCCGAUAUCAGAUUAGCUAGUUGGUGAGGUAAAGGCUACACCAAGGCGACGAUCUGUAGCUGGUUUGAGAGGACGACCAGCCACACUGGGACUGAGACACGGCCCAGACUCCGUACGGGAGGCAGCA
This 327-nucleotide ribosomal RNA is filed under the name uncultured soil bacterium. RNAcentral describes it as "bacterial SSU rRNA". It matches the Rfam family "Bacterial small subunit ribosomal RNA", at positions 26 to 353 of the family's 1533-position model. The record is from RNAcentral.